GGAGUAAAGUUUUGUUUAAACCGAAAAAAUAUUGACUGACUUUGGAUUUUUCUUUGGAAUAUGUAUAUUUUUUGGAAGGCCCUCCUUUUUAGUGGAUCUUAUUGGCACAUGUAUGAUUGUUUAGUUUUUAUUUUUUGUGUGAUGCUUGUUUUCUUUUUGUGUUAAAAAACAGAUAAAUACUUGGCUUAUUGGUCUAUUUAUAUGUAUUACUAUUUUUAAUUUUUUUUGGAUGAUCUUUUAAUUUUUUUCUGAAAUUGGAAAAGAAAGUAAUUUAUUUUUAAUGUGUUUAUGAAUUUAAUAAGCAAAGUGGUACAAACCAUCCGUCA
RNAcentral lists this ribosomal RNA (326 nucleotides) under Cercopithifilaria bainae. RNAcentral's name for it is "partial 12S ribosomal RNA". The record is from RNAcentral. Lineage: Eukaryota; Metazoa; Nematoda; Chromadorea; Rhabditida; Onchocercidae.